AUUGAACGCUGGCGGCAGGCUUAACACAUGCAAGUCGAGCGGGGAAAGGUAGCUUGCUACCUGACCUAGCGGCGGACGGGUGAGUAAUGCUUAGGAAUCUGCCUAUUAGUGGGGGACAACAUUCCGAAAGGAAUGCUAAUACCGCAUACGCCCUACGGGGGAAAGCAGGGGAUCUUCGGACCUUGCGCUGAUAGAUGAGCCUAAGUCAGAUUAGCUAGGUGGGGGGGUAAAGGCCUACCAAGGCGACGAUCUGUAGCGGGUCUGAGAGGAUGAUCCGCCACGCUGGGACUGAGACACGGCCCAGACUCCUACGGGAGGCAGCAGUGGGGAAUAUUGGACAAUGGGCGAAAGCCUGAUCAGCCAUGCCGCGUGUGUGAAGAAGGCCUUUUGGUUGUAAAGCACUUUAAGCGAGGAGGAGGCUACCGAGAUUAAUACUCUUGGAUAGUGGACGUUACUCGCAGAAUAAGCACCGGCUAACUCUGUGCCAGCCGCCGCCGUAA
RNAcentral lists this ribosomal RNA (500 nucleotides) under uncultured bacterium. RNAcentral describes it as "partial 16S ribosomal RNA". It matches the Rfam family "Bacterial small subunit ribosomal RNA", at positions 30 to 523 of the family's 1533-position model. The record is from RNAcentral.